This 427-nucleotide ribosomal RNA is filed under the name uncultured bacterium. RNAcentral's name for it is "partial 16S ribosomal RNA". It matches the Rfam family "Bacterial small subunit ribosomal RNA", at positions 355 to 774 of the family's 1533-position model. The record is from RNAcentral.
UGGGGAAUAUUGGACAAUGGGCGAAAGCCUGAUCCAGCCAUGCCGCGUGUGUGAAGAAGGUCUUCGGAUUGUAAAGCACUUUAAGUUGGGAGGAAGGGCAUUAACCUAAUACGUUAGUGUUUUGACGUUACCGACAGAAUAAGCACCGGCUAACUCUGUGCCAGCAGCCGCGGUAAUACAGAGGGUGCAAGCGUUAAUCGGAAUUACUGGGCGUAAAGCGCGCGUAGGUGGUUUGUUAAGUUGGAUGUGAAAGCCCCGGGCUCAACCUGGGAACUGCGUCCAAAACUGGCAAGCUAGAGUACGGUAGAGGGUGGUGGAAUUUCCUGUGUAGCGGUGAAAUGCGUAGAUAUAGGAAGGAACACCAGUGGCGAAGGCGACCACCUGGACUGAUACUGACACUGAGGUGCGAAAGCGUGGGGAGCAAACA